RNAcentral lists this ribosomal RNA (231 nucleotides) under uncultured bacterium. RNAcentral describes it as "partial 16S ribosomal RNA". It matches the Rfam family "Bacterial small subunit ribosomal RNA", at positions 103 to 334 of the family's 1533-position model. The record is from RNAcentral.
CGGGUGAGUAACACGUAUCCAACCUGCCGUCUACUCUUGGACAGCCUUCUGAAAGGAAGAUUAAUACAAGAUGGCAUCAUGAGUUCACAUGUUCACAUGAUUAAAGGUAUUCCGGUAGACGAUGGGGAUGCGUUCCAUUAGAUAGUAGGCGGGGUAGCGGCCCACCUAGUCUUCGAUGGAUGGGGGUUCUGAGAGGAAGGUCCCCCACAUUGGAACUGAGACACGGUCCAA